Molecule: long non-coding RNA, 1918 nt
Organism: Monodelphis domestica (gray short-tailed opossum)
Lineage: Eukaryota; Metazoa; Chordata; Mammalia; Didelphimorphia; Didelphidae
Source: Ensembl
AUGAGGGAAAAUCUACCAUCUGGUGAGGCACCCCAUCCCACUUUUGCAAAGCGCCACCAUUAUUCUCCCCCCUCUAUAAUGAUUUUUUCACACCUCUUUAUGUUAUAUAAUUUCUUUCACUCCUGUAUUUGUUUUGUGGCAUUAUUUAUAUUGAUUAUAGGGGAUUCAGAUGGUGACCUUGAGCUUCUUUGCCUUACUCCAUCUUUGCCUUACUUGGCUCCUCUGCAAAAUCUUGUGAAGAUCCUGAUUAUGGCUCUGUGGUGUUUUAUCUCCUUCUGGAUGAUUGAGAUCCAACUUCCUCCUGCUCCUCCUGCUCCUGCUCCUGCUCCUGUUCUUGCUCUGGCCUGGGGUCCAGCUCUUGCUCCUAUUGCUGUUGCUAUUCCUGUUGCUGGUUGAUGCCACUGCUUCUUUAGAACACACUGGGAGUCCAAGCUGGGAGUCCUUGGAGGCAGUCUCCAGACAGCUGGUAAAAACUAGGAUGUGUUUCCCUUAGGCAAUAAUUAGCUUUCUAACUCCCUGUCCUCGUGGCAGGGGAAGAAAGCUGCUCCCUCAGUUUUACCCCAUGAGGGGUGAACUUUAUUUCCAAACAGGAAGUAAAAUUGCAAGCAUGACUUACUCUAUGAAAGAGCAGUACAUUGCUUAUUUCCAACAGCUCCCAGUUUUAGGAUGCUUUUCCUUCCUACCAUUCCUGGGUGUACUGAUCCUUGCGAUUAUCUUCUCUUAGAUUCAGGGGAGAAAUUCAUCUCCCUAUAACCCCUUGCCAUUUAGGCCUGCCCAGUUUCUAAGAUAUCCAGUUUCUAAGAAUCCAAUUUGGGAUUCCUCCACACUAUGUUCAUCGAAGAAUUCUCGCUCACUAUGGGAGAUUCCAGAGGUGUGACAAAAGGAACCUAAAUGGAUAGGGAAGGAACUUUAAAGAGUCUGGAGGUGAGAUUUUUAAGCUUUUUUAAUCUCCAUUUUUUAUAAAAGUCUCUGUAUCUUAUUUUAUUUUGCUGAUUGUCUUCUUUAAGAAUUUAUUUUGUUCUUUUAAGUUCAUAUAUUAAUCUGAUCAAUACUAUUCUGUUACACUGAAUCAUUUUAAUCUAAUGUGUUUUAGCUAUUAAAUGCAUUAUGUUACCUUUCUCCUAUAACUAUACUGAACAAAAUGUUGUAAAAGCCCAUAAACAGCCUUUUCUUCCAUUUUACCUUUGUUAAAUUGUCACAUAGAUGAUGAAUGGACUCCUUCCACCUUGUAUACAACCAUUGGAGGAUUUAAUGAUCUAAAUAUCUCAAAUUGAUUUUAAUGGGUCUUCAGACAUGAUUUUUGGAUUUUUUUCCCAAUAGCUCUGAUUUUUGAGACCCAGGCCUGAGGUAUUCCUGUCUAGGUGGAACAGUCAGGCAAAUAAUGAAGAGAUGAGAGAAAAUUGAGUGAUCAGACCUGUGCUUAGGCAUCAUGCAGUUGCUCUACCAGGCACAGAGUUCGUGUUUAUUAUAUAGCUUCAGUGAGUACAUGCUUUUCUAGCACACAAUCAUUUUUCAACAUAUGUGAUCAACUACAGAUAAUUAGAUGUGUCACACAUUAACAAAUCACUUAAUCAAGUCUGUGAUCAUUUACCAUGUUGCAACAACAGAGAUAUUUGUGAUGGAGAUGAAUGACAUAGGGUAAUCUGGAGGUUAGUUUCCCCUGACCUGUGAGAUAACCAGUUACGAGAAUCAUUAUUGCUUUUGACCAGUUUUCACUAUCAAUCACAAUUACUUAGGAGAUGGGUAACAAAACAGUUUGUAGCUAGGUACAGGGUUACAGGGUAUCUUAAAGCAGACCAGAAUUAGGAUUUUCCUCAAUUUCCAAGUUACAUUUUUCUCUUCCUCCCUCUGAGUUAUUUGUAAAAAAGAGUAUGACCUCAUGAAUAAACUUUCUGCCAAGCUCUCUGUGCCUAGCCUC